Molecule: ribosomal RNA, 478 nt
Filed under: uncultured bacterium
Lineage: Bacteria
Description: partial 16S ribosomal RNA
Rfam family: Bacterial small subunit ribosomal RNA
Source: RNAcentral
GACGAACGCUGGCGGCGUGCUUAACACAUGCAAGUCGAACGGUAAGGCCCUUCGGGGUACACGAGUGGCGAACGGGUGAGUAACACGUGGGUGAUCUGCCCUGCACUUCGGGAUGAGCCUGGGAAACUGGGUCUAAUACCGGAUAGGACCACUGCCUGCAUGGGUGGUGGUGGAAAGCUUUUGCGGUGUGGGAUGGGCCCGCGGCCUAUCAGCUUGUUGGUGGGGUGAUGGCCUAUCAAGGCGACGACGGGUAGCCGGCCUGAGAGGGUGACCGGCCACACUGGGACUGGGAUACGGCCCAGACUCCUACGGGAGGCAGCAGUGGGGAAUAUUGCACAAUGGGCGCAAGCCUGAUGCAGCGACGCCGCGUGAGGGAUGACGGCCUUCGGGUUGUAAACCUCUUCCAGCACCGACGAAGCGCAAGUGACGGUAGGUGCAGAAGAAGGACCGGCCAACUACGUGCCAGCCGCCGCCGUAA